AUUGCCCUCGAAUAACCGGAGAUGAAAACUGCUUAGCAACCUUCGGUUCAGACAGGGGCGAACAGUAAGGGAGAGGUAUAUGCGUGGUUUAUUAAACCUGCUCUAUACAGCUCCUUCCCGAAUCA
Macadamia integrifolia is the source of this 125-nucleotide small nucleolar RNA. RefSeq annotates it as small nucleolar RNA snoR138. The transcript has a single exon. NCBI's taxonomy places the organism in Eukaryota, Viridiplantae, Streptophyta, Magnoliopsida, Proteales, Proteaceae. The record is from RefSeq and is a predicted model, not a curated record.